AACGAACGCUGGCAGCGUGGAUUAGGCAUGCAAGUCGAACGAGAACCCCGCGUGUAGCAAUACAAGUGGGGGAGAGUGGCGUAAGGGUGCGUAGCGCAUGGGUAAUCUACCCUUAAGAUGAGGAUAACCUUGUGAAAACGAGGCUAAUACUGAAUGUGAUCGCAUCCGGCAUCGGGUGCUGUUCGAAGAUGGGGACCGCAAGGCCUGUCACUUAAGGAUGAGCCCGUGUCCUAUCAGCUAGUUGGUGAGGUAACGGCCCACCAAGGCUAUGACGGGUAGCUGGUCUGAGAGGAUGGUCAGCCACACUGGGACUGAGACACUGCCCAGACUCCUACGGGAGCAG
RNAcentral lists this ribosomal RNA (343 nucleotides) under uncultured Lentisphaerota bacterium. RNAcentral describes it as "bacterial SSU rRNA". It matches the Rfam family "Bacterial small subunit ribosomal RNA", at positions 29 to 351 of the family's 1533-position model. Lineage: Bacteria; Pseudomonadati; Lentisphaerota. The record is from RNAcentral.